RNAcentral lists this long non-coding RNA (2062 nucleotides) under Nicotiana tabacum (common tobacco). RNAcentral describes it as "long non-coding RNA (NTAB_LNC007757)". Lineage: Eukaryota; Viridiplantae; Streptophyta; Magnoliopsida; Solanales; Solanaceae. The record is from RNAcentral.
AAGGGCUAUCCCUUUCACAGUUAGAACUGCUAGACACAUGGGCUCAAUAAGAGUAUGUAUAGGACCUAGACAUGCCCCUUGCUUGGGUACAAGGAUAGAUCCUUCCAUACAGUCAUUAAGACUAUAAUAAAAUUCACGUAUAUUUCGAAUCUUUACUGGUCGUGCAGACUACCGCCAACCUUCAAAGGUACUGAAAUAGCUAGAUCUGGAUGGCCGUGUGCGGACUACCGCCCGCCUACCCUGAUCCUGCUGUAAAAUGGUAUCAGAGCAGGUAGUGCAUAAUUCCAGCACUUUUCGGGUUAUAACACAAAUGAGAACGUUUAUAACUUCUCAAAAAUCAUUAUCAAACAGAUUAUAUCUGUUGAAGAAUGGGGGAUUUCAACAAUGAAAGAAAGGCAGAUAAACCUUACUAAAUCACCUAUGAAUUUUACUUAUUGGGAUUAUAUCCAAGCAUUUGAUAGAGUGCUUUAUUAUAACAAUGAGAGGCAUAAACAUACUUGGUUUAUUAAUGUAUGUGCAAAGGUAUUUACAGGACCUAUCCCCAACUGGUUUUUAAAUUGGCGGUCAUACUACGGUCCCACAACAAAAAUCCUGCCUGAGCCACUCCUUAAGUUAUACAAAGAAUGGGCAAAAAUUUCACCAUUCCUAACCGAGUUAUAUCACGCAAAUCAUAUCUGUUGCCUAGAAAAAAUUGAUCAAAUUUGCUUCUUUAUUGAAUUCUCUAUCCCAUGGAUUCAUAAAUGGACUCCUGAAUUAGGUUUUAUGGAGGAACAAAUCCCUUGCUUAUACAGGGUAUUUUACAACAAUUUUUGGGACAAAUUGAUGAAGAAUGAUCCCAAAAUAAAAAUAUUAUAUGGACAAGAAUUAUUGGAUUCUAUUAAAACACAAAUCCAAGUAUACUCGUCCACUCCACAGAAGAAAAUAUUUGAUGACAGCUCCGUCAAACAUAUUGCUCGAAGAAUCUCUGUUCAAGACGGAGAUAAAACCGAAUUAGUAAAUAAAUAUCUUGGAGAAGUAAAAAGAAAGUUACUUCAAACUUUGAAUCAAUGUGAAAGAUUAGACACAUCAAUGCACAGUGAAACAAGUGGAGAUGAUAUCGCGGAAGAAGAUUCACAGCCGAUGCAGCCAGAAAUAAUAUUAUCUGACAAAGAGAAAGAAAAGGUGGAAAAAUUUCUCCAACAAAUGAACGAUUUAGACAGAAGAGGACUUUGACUAAAGCCGCCGAAGACCCCACACAACAGUAGAUACAUUGUUCCCAACAGUAGAAACACUGUAUAAGGGACCCAGAUACGCUAUUACCAAUAGUAGAAACACUGUAUAGAGACCCAGAUGUGGGACCCAAUUUACUAUUUAAAGAUUCUUUAUGUUUCCUUUUUCUUUCUUUAAAUAGAGGAGCUCUUCAUUUGAAGAGCAUCAGAUUGUAAAACCCCUCUCUCUCUCUCUUGUAAAGACUUUUAGCUUCUUAGCUUCUUCAUUUUGUAAAUCAGUGGAAGUAAAUAAAGUUUCAAAGUUCAGUUCACCAUCUUCAGGGCCUAGCAUCCCGGCCUUAAAGGUAUUUGUUUAUUUUAAUUUUUAUAAGUAUUUAAUUACUUUGUUUCUCUCCCCAGUCGUGACUAUAUCCGGCUAAACGGAUUCAUAUCUAUGUUGAAGAACUAAUUUCUCUUGCAUAUUAACCAUGAAGAAUCCAGACUCUUUCAAAAUAUAAAGGAAUAUUAAUAUAGUUUCUUGGCUUGGUUCCAAGAUGGUGGUACAGUCGACUCUUGUACUACUCUUAUUGGCUUUGCCUUAGUAGCUACGUCUAGCCAGCUGUGACAUUAAAGCCCGCUGAAGUUGUCAAAAGGGCUAUCCCUUUCACAGUUAGAACUGCUAGACACAUGGGCUCAAUAAGAGUAUGUAUCGGACCUAUACAGGCCCCUUGCUUGGGUAAAAGGAUAGAUCCUUCCAUACAGUCAUUAAGACUAUAGUAAAAUUCCCGUAUAUUUCGAAUCUUUACUGGUCGUGCGGACUACCGCCAACCUUCAAAGGUACUGAAAUAGCUAGAUCUGGAUGGCCGUGUGCGGAC